CCUACGGGUGGCAGCAGUAGGGAAUAUUGCUCAAUGGGGGAAACCCUGAAGCAGCAACGCCGCGUGGAGGAUGAAGGUUUUCGGAUUGUAAACUCCUGUUGGUAGAGAAGAGAAUGACGGUAGCUAACGAAUAAGCACCGGCUAACGCCGUGCCAGCAGCCGCGGUAAUACGGAGGGUGCAAGCGUUACGCGGAAUCACUGGGCGUCAAGAGCGCGGAGGCGGGAUAGCAAGUCCGAUGGGAAAUCCUCUGGCUUAACCAUAGAACUGCAUUUGAAACUGUUAUUCUAGAGUAUGGGAGCGGUAGGUGGUAUUCUUUGUGUAGUCGUCACAUCC
RNAcentral lists this ribosomal RNA (334 nucleotides) under uncultured bacterium. Its description in RNAcentral is "partial 16S ribosomal RNA". It matches the Rfam family "Bacterial small subunit ribosomal RNA", at positions 338 to 689 of the family's 1533-position model. The record is from RNAcentral.